ACCAAAUCUUGUUCCCCGAGAUUCCCAGUUUUCCUUAUCUUCUCCGAAUUAACCACUCUACGAUCCAUCAACAUACAUCGUUUGCCUACUCCGAUCCGUCUUCCCUUGUACAGACGACCCCUGAUCUGAAAAAGAUCCCCUCCACUCACUGUUUCUUUGAUAAUACCCGGAUCCCAUCUUCGAGAAAACAUGGAACCCUCUUUUACCUCUGUUCAAAUUAAUGAAAGAUCUUUUUUAAACAGUAAAUAUUGAUAUCCGAACAAGAUUUUAUAAUUUAAAAGCGUAUAGAAGCUCUAUUGGAUUUUUUUAUAACACUCUAUUGGAUUUUAUCAAAUCUAUACAGCCUAAUCUUCAUAAUCGGAUAGUUGUUAUACUAGAUUCUAAUUUAUUUUCCUUUCAUAAAUACUUAAACAUUUAAAUAUUAAUACUUUGAU
RNAcentral lists this long non-coding RNA (434 nucleotides) under Brassica napus (rape). Its description in RNAcentral is "long non-coding RNA (BNAP_LNC014093)". Lineage: Eukaryota; Viridiplantae; Streptophyta; Magnoliopsida; Brassicales; Brassicaceae. The record is from RNAcentral.